This is an RNA transcript of Musa acuminata AAA Group (dessert banana), 2368 nucleotides long. It is a transcript of the gene named auxin-responsive protein IAA16-like, with no coding region annotated. NCBI's taxonomy places the organism in Eukaryota, Viridiplantae, Streptophyta, Magnoliopsida, Zingiberales, Musaceae. The record is from RefSeq and is a predicted model, not a curated record. The transcript is spliced from 6 exons.
UGCUUCCGAUAGCAACGCUUGUGUUCAAACUAUAGAACUAAAGAAGAUGGUGUCUGAUCCGAUCAAACUUGCGACAAUAUUUUUGUCCACGUGGCAACAUGCAAACAAUGAUGAACUAAUCUGUCAUCGAUCGAUAAGUUUGCUCAAUGGCGAGGCAAAAGUACUUGCGACGAUCGCGGUUCCUCUGCGAAGCGAUCGGAUCUCUUCGGACGACUCCCGGAAGCUCUCCUCCGCCGACGAAGCCCCUCAAUCCCGAGGAGACCGAGGAGCGGGUUCUCCGACGCCGUUAAUGAGACCCCGAAGUGGGACUCCGCUAGAGGGACCGUGAUCUGAGGUGGAAUUAGGCAAAGGAAGCUCUUGAAAUUUGUGGAUGAACUACAUAUCAAUGCUAACCGUGGAAUUGCUUAUUGCUCAUUUGGUGUCGACAGGAAUUUGGUUCCAAGGAUUUAUCUCAUGGUCUUUAGUUUUUGGCAUAAUUCGACGAUCGGGGUGUACUAUCAAAUGCCUUGUUGUUAAGCUUAGCAUGGAUGGAGAGCCAUACCUUAGAAAAGUUAUCUAAAAACUGUUCCAGCAUUAAGGAGCAUUCUUCAGUACCCGAGAAGAUGUUUACCUGAUUUACUAUGGGUGAGCUAUGUCAUUUUCCAAUGCAUUGAAACAACUUUUUCGGUCUUCUCUAUUGCUUGCAAAUAAUUACAUGACUUGGUAGCUUCAAUUCUUUGUUUGCUUUAAAGAAUUUGAGAUCAGUGGUACAUGCUAUAUAACUGGUAUGUGCUCUAGAGUUGUGAAGCCUUAGAAACUGAUCUCUUGGAUUAGAAGGGAGAUAUUAGCAAUUUUAAUUAAAGUGCUAUAGCGGGCGCUUUAUGAUAAGUCAUGAUUACAAGUGCCUAAUACUGUUGCAGAUAUCGUUACUGUGUUCGUUAUUUUAUUAUACCAAAGUUAGUUAAGGUGCUUUUCACAUAACUUUGUUUCUUUGUUUCUGUUCUAGUGGGUUUUAUGGGAUACUUUAAUGUAUUGAUGUUGAGCUGACUGAAUAGUUUGGGUAUUUUUCUUCUUUUGGAGCCUUGCCGUCAUAUACAACUUCUUAUAUAUGUAGUUUUGCAACAGAGAUGGACAAUCUUUUCAUUAUGUUUCUCUUUACAUUUAAUUCUGUUGAUGGCAAACCUAAAUAAGUUCUCAUUGUUAUCAGAUCCAUAUUGUGUCUACUCAAGUAAUAUUGUAUAUUCUUGAUUUUAGGUGUCCGUUAUCAAAUAUUAAGCUAUUCUGACCCACGUAUUAUUUUACCAUGUCAUGCCCCCAGUGGCAAUUAGUUCUUGGAAUAGUAUUUUCUAUCAGCAUGUGAUGUGCCAAUGCAUGCACAACGACAUAAGCAUGCAUAGUAAAAGGAAAAAGAAAAUCAUAACAGACAUUAGGAAGAAAAGACAAAGUAGCCUUUUAUAGUCUACUGUACAACAUGCCUUCCAGCACAAUCAGACAUUCAGAAUGUAAACUUGUGCAAUUAUAUAGAUGCACGGGAAUUCAUGGUAUAAUCAUGAGUGCCAAAGUUCUUACCUCACAAGAGUUCCCAGUUGAAUGAUUCAUUACCAUCUAAGCUUCUUGGAUUAUUGUUGUACAACGAGAGAUUUGCUUGUGUCUGUAUUUCUUGCUGUCAGGCCAAUGAAUUUCAGUUGGAACAACAUAGAGACUACAGAGAAGGGCGAAGCUAGGGUUGGAUGAUGGAUCUUUAUCAAGGGUCUGAGUAUGUACUUAUGAAGACAAGAGAUGGGUAUUGGAUGCUCAUCAUCAAUAUACCUUCAGAAAUGUUUAAUAAUCAUUGCAGAUGGCCGAGGAUCAUGAAGAUUUCAGAUCUGGAAUUUGCACCAAGGGCCACGAUGAAGUGUCAGAGCUGGCUGGAACUAGCAACAUCUUGGAAGAUCAGCUUGGUGCAUUAUAACCUUAUGGCCGCAUGGAGAAAAGCUUCGGUGUCGUGAGACCAGCAAAUGUAGCGAACAAGAUGGACCCAUGUACGUGUUCUUUGGAUUCCUGCUCAGUGCACUCUGAUGAAAGCUUGGGCAAUUACCUAAAAGUGUCAGGCUUUUGCCUUGCUCUCUCCCAGUUCUUCACUGAGUGUUUACCUUCCACGUCCAGGUUAAUAAAUUAUUGUGGCUGUCACAUCAUGCUGACAUGACCAUGAUGCAGCAUCGUAUGAGUAAUUAUUGGUCCAGCAUUGCAUCAUUAUCAUUGAUUGUCACAUCAACAUGAUGUAUUUAUUUAUCACAUUGUUAUCAUCUGACUGUCACAUCAUUUGUUACUCAGAGAGGGCAGUUUUAUCUUUUGGCAUGUAUGAUCAACUUAAUUAGAUGCUUAAUUACAUUUAAUUAUGGUUCUAACA